AUGAAGAUGGCGACUUGCAUUCGUAAGGUGGCCUCGGAGGAGUUUGGAGUGUCCAGGGGAAGGAGAAGCGAAGAUAAGGAUACCUGGUGGUGGAAUGAUGAUGUCCAGAAGGCGCUUAAAGUGAAGAAAGAUUGCUUCAGACGCCUAUACCUGGAUAGGAGUGCAGACAACAUAGAGAAGUACAAGAUGGCGAAGAAGGCCGCAAAGCGAGCUGUUGGUGAAGUAAGGGGUCGGGCAUAUGAGGACCUCUACCAACGGUUAGGCACGAAGGAAGGUGAAAGGGACAUCUAUAAGAUGGCUAAGAUCCAGGAGAGGAAGACGAGGGAUAUUGGCCAAGUCAAAUGCAUCAAGGACGGAGCAGGCCAACUCUUGGUGAAGGACGAAGAGAUUAAGCAUAGAUGGCGGGAGUACUUCGACAAGCUGUUCAAUGGGGAGAAUGAGAGUUCUACCAUUGAACUGAAUGACUCCUUUGAUGAGACCAGCAUGCGUUUUGUGCGGCGCAUCCAGGAGUCUGAGGUGAAGGAGGCUUUAAAAAGGAUGAAAGGAGGCAAGGCGAUGGGCCCUGAUUGUAUCCCCAUUGAGGUGUGGAAAGGUCUCGGGGACAUAGCAAUAGUAUGGCUAACCAAGCUUUUCAACCUCAUUUUUCGGGCAAACAAGAUGCCAAAAGAAUGGAGACGGAGUAUAUUAGUACCAAUCUUCAAGAACAAGGGGGGUGUUCAGAGUUGUACUAAUUACCGUGGAAUUAAGCUGAUGAGCCAUACAAUGAAGCUAUGGGAGAGAGUCAUUGAGCACCGCUUAAGAAGAAUGACAAGCGUGACCAAAAAUCAGUUUGUUUUCAUGCCUGGGAGGUCGACCAUGGAAGCCAUUUUCUUGGUACGACAACUUAUGGAGAGAUAUAGGGAGCAUAAGAAGGACUUGCAUAUGGUGUUCAUUGACUUGGAGAAGGCCUAUGAUAAGAUACCGCGGAAUGUCAUGUGGUGGGCCUUGGAGAAACACAAAGUCCCAGCAAAGUACAUUACCCUCAUCAAGGACAUGUACAAUUAUGUUGUGACAAGUGUUCGAACAAGUGAUGUCGACACCGAUGACUUCCCGAUUAAGAUAGGACUGCAUCAGGGGUCAGCUUUGAGCCCUUAUCUUUUUGCUUUGGUGAUGGAUGAGGUCACAAGGGGUAUACAAGGAGAUAUCCCAUGGUGUAUGCUCUUUGCGGAUGAUGUGGUGCUAGUUGACGAUAGUCGGACGGGGGUAAAUAGGAAGUUAGAGUUAUGGAGACAAACCUUGGAAUCGAAAGGGUUUAGGCUUAGUAGAACUAAAACCGAGUACAUGAUGUGCGGUUUCAGUACUACUAGCUGCGAGGAGGAGGAGGUUAGCCUUGAUGGCCAGGUGGUACCUCGGAAGGACACCUUUCGGUAUUUGGGGUCAAUGUUGCAGGAGGAUGGGGGUAUUGAUGAAGAUGUGAACCAUCGAAUCAAAGCCGGAUGGAUGAAGUGGCGCCAAGCUUCUGGCAUUCUCUGUGACAAGAGAGUGCCACAAAAGCUAAAAGGCAAGUUCUACAGGACGGCGGUUCGACCCGCAAUGUUGUAUGGCGCGGAGUGUUGA
RNAcentral lists this ribosomal RNA (1596 nucleotides) under Triticum aestivum (bread wheat). RNAcentral describes it as "partial small subunit ribosomal RNA". The record is from RNAcentral. Lineage: Eukaryota; Viridiplantae; Streptophyta; Magnoliopsida; Poales; Poaceae.